RNAcentral lists this non-coding RNA (118 nucleotides) under Salmonella enterica. RNAcentral also lists the same sequence under 1 other name. The record is from RNAcentral. Lineage: Bacteria; Pseudomonadati; Pseudomonadota; Gammaproteobacteria; Enterobacterales; Enterobacteriaceae.
GUUAUUCACGUAGGGUACAGAGGUAAGAUGUUCUAUCUUUCAGACCUUUUACUUCACGUAAUCGGAUUUGGCUGAAUAUUUUAGCCGCCCCAGUCAGUUUAUGACUGGGGCGUUUUUU